Molecule: non-coding RNA, 519 nt
Organism: Pelobates cultripes (western spadefoot toad)
Lineage: Eukaryota; Metazoa; Chordata; Amphibia; Anura; Pelobatidae
Source: the annotation of a GenBank genome assembly
AUUAACUCUCUUUACUAAACUCCACAGCAGUAAAGAAAAACGUAAAGAGUAACAAGUAAAUCACUGAGCAGCAUAGUAUAUAAGGGUCAUGCUGCCUGUACACUUCCUCUUUCUUGAAGCGACAUCCAAGUCCAGAUUGAGCUCGAACGUCCAGAAACUCAACGAAAAACUGCAACUGCGGUCUCUGGCGAGGGGAACUUGAGGAGACUUCUGGUAAACAAGGUUGGAGAUAAGACCAAACAAAGCCUUCCACCCAUCCUACGGAGUCGUGAGGUUAACAAACCAGCGACCAGUGGAGGUCCUGAAGAGGGUUACACUGAAAGGAGAGUAUAAAAUAGGUUAGGUAAUGAACCGUAACUGUUCACGCCUGUGGGCCUUAACAGAAUGGUGUAAAUUAAAUCAUUACAAACAGAGUGUAAACUGGCCAGUGGCUAAAUGUGUGUAGGUGUAAGCAUGUUGUACAACUAAAAUAUGUCCGCCUAGGUGGAAAUACUAGGGUGAGAGAUGGAAGAGAUUUCG